This 511-nucleotide ribosomal RNA is filed under the name uncultured bacterium. RNAcentral describes it as "partial 16S ribosomal RNA". It matches the Rfam family "Bacterial small subunit ribosomal RNA", at positions 28 to 523 of the family's 1533-position model. The record is from RNAcentral.
GACGAACGCUGGCGGCGUGCCUAACACAUGCAAGUCGAACGGAGAUGUCAAUGAAGCUUGCGAUUUGACAUCUUAGUGGCGGACGGGUGAGUAACGCGUGGGUAAUCUACCUUUUAGUGGGGAACAACAGUUGGAAACGACUGCUAAUACCGCAUAAGCUGCGCAAGCAGGAAAGAUGGCCUCUGAAUAUGCUGUCGCUAAAAGAUGAGCCCGCGUCUGAUUAGCUAGUUGGUGGGGUAAAGGCCUACCAAGGCGACGAUCAGUAGCCGGCCCGAGGGGGUGAACGGCCACACUGGGACUGAGACAGGGCCCAGACUCCUACGGGAGGCAGCAGUGGGGAAUAUUGCGCAAUGGGGGAAACCCUGACGCAGCGACGCCGCGUGAGCGAUGAAGGCCUUAGGGUUGUAAAGCUCUGUUUUAGGGGACGAAUGUCCAUGUGAGUAAUAUGCGCGUGGAAUGACGGUACCCUAAGAGGAAGCCCCGGCUAACUACGUGCCAGCCGCCGCCGUAA